This 25-nucleotide ribosomal RNA is filed under the name Fusarium graminearum. Its description in RNAcentral is "partial 28S ribosomal RNA". The record is from RNAcentral. RNAcentral also lists the same sequence under 13 other names. Lineage: Eukaryota; Fungi; Ascomycota; Sordariomycetes; Hypocreales; Nectriaceae.
UUGACCUCGGAUCAGGUAGGAAUAC